GGCGGGAGAAGGGCCUUUGGGUUGUAAAUGCUUUUUCAAGGAAGAACGUGGGAUUUUUCAUGAGCUAUGGGACGGUAAGAAUAGGCACAGCUAAGUCCGUUCCAUCACCGCAGCUAAUAUGAUGGGUGCGGGCGUAAUCCGGUCUUAAUGGGUUUAGAAGGGAGGGUAGUCUGGGUAGUACGUCAGGUGUGAAAGUAAACGUUCAACUCUACAAAUGGCUUUUGAUAGUGCUAUGCUAGAAUUGGGAACAGGUCAGCGGAAUGGAACAUGUAGCGUUGAAAUGCAAAGAUAUGCCAUAGAACGCCACUUCAGAAGGCAGGUGGGUUGACCUGGAUGUUCGUUGAGGCACGAAAGCGUGGGGAGCGAACAGGACUAGAUUCGAUGCUAGUCCACUCCUUACAGGAUGCGUACUACACGUAUGUCGGUAGACGAUGUGCGUCCAAGGGAAACCGUUAAGUAAGCCACUUGGGGAGUACGACCGCAAGGUUGAAAGUCAAAGGAAUUGACGGGGGUCCGCACAAGCGGUGGAGCAUGUGGUCUAAUUCGAUGAUACGCGAGGAACCUUACAUCGGUUAGAAUGCGAGUGACGUCCUGUGAAAGCAGGAUUCCCUUCGGGGCACAAAGCAAGGUGCUGCAUGGCUGUAGUCAGCUCGUCCCGUGAGGUGUUGGGAUAAGUCCCGCAACGAGCGCAACCCCUGUCCUUAGUUGCCAUGUCUGUCGGGGACUCUAAGGAGACUGCCGGCGCAAGCCGCGAGGAAGGUGGGGACGACGUCAAGUCAUCAUGGCUUUUAUGCCCAGGGCGACACACGUGCUACAAUGGCCGGUACAGAGGGUUGCCAAGCCGCAAGGUGGAGCCAAUCCCUUAAAGCCGGUUUCAGUUCGGAUUGGAGUUUGAAACCUGACUCCAUGAAGUUGGAAUCGGUAGUAAUCGCGCAUCAGCCAUGGCGCGGUGAAUACGUUCCCGG
This 965-nucleotide ribosomal RNA is filed under the name uncultured bacterium. RNAcentral describes it as "bacterial SSU rRNA". It matches the Rfam family "Bacterial small subunit ribosomal RNA", at positions 401 to 1377 of the family's 1533-position model. The record is from RNAcentral.